This 1527-nucleotide long non-coding RNA is filed under the name Podarcis muralis (Common wall lizard). RNAcentral's name for it is "lncRNA (ENSPMRG00000017247.1)". The record is from RNAcentral. Lineage: Eukaryota; Metazoa; Chordata; Lepidosauria; Squamata; Lacertidae.
AUGAUGAAGAUGACUGCCACUUCCGGCAGUACAGAUCUCCUGCCCCCUUCCCCCUUUGUUUUGACUGAUGGGGAGGCUUGGGCAUCGCGGGCAUUGUCCAGUUUUUUUAAAACUCUUCACAUUUAUGUUUCACAGGGUGUGAAAGAAGGGCUUUGCACCUUUAUACAACAUGCCUGUGUGCUUGGGCCCAGGGUCUUUUGCCUCACCAUCCCCACUACUCACUCCCUGUUGCUACUCAGCUUCAAAAAGAAAAGAAAAGGUGUCCCUGGAUUCAUUGAAAAAAAUCUGGUAACCAUAGUCUACUUAGAAUUUAUUAUAAGAAGAGCAAUUACUCUACACACCCCUUGCUUUCCUAGGAAGAUGCUUCCAUCCACUGGUUCAUGUAGCUCAGCACAUUACCCUGCCCAGCUGCAGUUCUCUCAGUGUUUACCGUAUUUUUCGCACCAUAGGGCGCACCGGACCAUAGGGCGCACCCAGUUUUUUUGGGGGGAAAUAAAGGGGGAAAAAUUAUUUCCCCCCCAGGCGCGGGCUGGGGAAGCUCGAGCUUCCCCCAACCCCAGCCCCCAAACAGGUAGCUCUCUGCAAGCCGUGGGAGCCCAGCGCUGGCUCCCGCUGCUUGUGGAGAGGUCUGCGAAGCCUGGACGCGCUGAGCUCAGCGCGCGCAGGCUUCGGCAUGCUGGCAACCCUGCGCAAACAGCGGGAGCGCUCCCGCUGCUUGCGGGGAGGUCCGCGAAGCCUGGACGCGCUGAGCUCAGCGCGCGCAGGCUUCGGCAUGCUGGCAACCCUGCGCAAACAGCGGGAGCGCUCCCGCUGCUUGCGGGGAGGUCCGGGAAGCCUGGACGCGCUGAGCUCAGCGCGCGCAGGCUUCGGCAUGCUGGCAACCCUGCGCAAACAGCGGGAGCGCUCCUGCUGUUUGCGGGGAGGUCCGCGAAGCCUGGACGCGCUGAGCUCAGCGCGCGCAGGCUUCGGCAUGCUGGCAACCCUGCGCAAACAGCGGGAGCGCUCCUGCUGUUUGCGGGGAGGUCCGCGAAGCCUGGACGCGCUGAGCUCAGCGCGCGCAGGCUUCGGCAUGCUGGCAACCCUGCGCAAACAGCGGGAGCGCUCCCGCUGCUUGCGGGGAGGUCCGCGAAGCCUGGACGCGCUGAGCUCAGCGCGCGCAGGCUUCGGCAUGCUGGCAACCCUGCGCAAACAGCGGGAGCGCUCCUGCUGUUUGCGGGGAGGUCCGCGAAGCCUGGACGCGCUGAGCUCAGCGCGCGCAGGCUUCGGCAUGCUGGCAACCCUGCGCAAACAGCGGGAGCGCUCCUGCUGUUUGCGGGGAGGUCCGCGAAGCCUGGACGCGCUGAGCUCAGCGCGCGCAGGCUUCGGCAUGCUGGCAACCCUGCGCAAACAGCGGGAGCGCUCCCGCUGCUUGCGGGGAGGUCCGGGAAGCCUGGACGCGCUGAGCUCAGCGCGCGCAGGCUUCGGCAUGCUGGCAACCCACCCCUCUCACUCUCCAGGCUUCAGCGAAAGCCUGCAUUCGCACCAUAG